ACCCGCAUGGCCAAAUGGCUACGGCGUCCCACUCGUAAUGAGGAGAUUCUCGGUUCAAUUCUGAGUGUGGGCA
This is a non-coding RNA of Lasiosphaeria ovina, 73 nucleotides long. NCBI's taxonomy places the organism in Eukaryota, Fungi, Ascomycota, Sordariomycetes, Sordariales, Lasiosphaeriaceae. The record is from the annotation of a GenBank genome assembly.